This 274-nucleotide ribosomal RNA is filed under the name uncultured bacterium. RNAcentral describes it as "partial 16S ribosomal RNA". It matches the Rfam family "Bacterial small subunit ribosomal RNA", at positions 523 to 796 of the family's 1533-position model. The record is from RNAcentral.
AUACAGAGGGUGCGAGCGUUAAUCGGAAUUACUGGACGUAAAGCGCGCGUAGGCGGCUUGGUCAGUCGGAUGUGAAAGCCCCGGGCUCAACCUGGGAAUGGCAUCCGAUACUGCCAGGCUAGAGUAUGGGAGAGGGAAGUGGAAUUUCCGGUGUAGCGGUGAAAUGCGUAGAUAUCGGAAGGAACACCAGUGGCGAAGGCGACUUCCUGGCCCAAUACUGACGCUGAGGUGCGAAAGCGUGGGGAGCGAACAGGAUUAGAAACCCUAGUAGUCC